UAUAUCCUGCGAUGUACGUUACGGCGCACAAAUGUUUUGAACCAAUGCUGUUUCCAAGGGAGUUCAACAUUGCCCGGCCUCUGGCAAGCCCCCGAAAAGGGUAGCCAAACUCCGGAGCUGCGGACACCCACCUGCCAAGCGGGUUCAGAAACAAGCACGUCGGACGGCAUAGGCGGGUUUUUU
Molecule: non-coding RNA, 183 nt
Filed under: Cohnella candida
Lineage: Bacteria; Bacillati; Bacillota; Bacilli; Caryophanales; Paenibacillaceae
Description: Cohnella candidum 6S / SsrS RNA
Rfam family: 6S / SsrS RNA
About the family: E. coli 6S RNA was the first non coding RNA to be sequenced, but its function was unknown until recently. It consists of 184 nucleotides that fold into an extended hairpin structure with a large single-stranded internal bulge.
Source: Rfam by way of RNAcentral